CCUACGGGCGGCAGCAGUGGGGAAUAUUGCACAAUGGGGGAAACCCUGAUGCAGCGACGCCGCGUGAGCGAUGAAGUAUUUCGGUAUGUAAAGCUCUAUCAGCCGGGAAGAAAAUGACGGUACCUGACUAAGAAGCCCCGGCUAACUACGGGCCAGCAGCCGCGGUAAUACGUAGGGGGCAAGCGUUAUCCGGAUUUACUGGGUGUAAAGGGAGCGUAGACGGCUGUGCAAGCCAGAUGUGAAAGCCCGGGGCCCAACCCCGGGAGUGCAUUUGGAACUGGGUGGCUGGAGUGUCGGAGAGGCAGGCGGAAUUCCUAGUGUAGCGGUGAAAUGCGUAGAUAUUAGGAGGAACACCAGUGGCGAAGGCGGCCUGCUGGACGAUGACUGACGUUGAGGCUCGAAAGCGUGGGGAGCAAACAGGAUUAGAUACCCCGGUAGUC
RNAcentral lists this ribosomal RNA (440 nucleotides) under uncultured bacterium. Its description in RNAcentral is "partial 16S ribosomal RNA". It matches the Rfam family "Bacterial small subunit ribosomal RNA", at positions 338 to 795 of the family's 1533-position model. The record is from RNAcentral.